AGAUGUGAGGGCCAUCUAGCUGUGACGGCUGUCACCCCAUCGAUCGUCAGGAUUGAUUCAGCUAAUCUGGCUGGCUAUGCGGGUGCCCGCACCACUCCACUCAGUGUGAGUCCCUCCCAAAGCUCCAAUACAGCCUGGGGCCUGUACAGAAUAGUUAAAAGGGUAGCUGCUGUAAGUCAGGGUUG
RNAcentral lists this small nuclear RNA (185 nucleotides) under Erinaceus europaeus (western European hedgehog). RNAcentral describes it as "7SK RNA". It matches the Rfam family "7SK RNA", at positions 1 to 192 of the family's 331-position model. From Rfam's summary of the family: 7SK was discovered as an abundant small nuclear RNA in the mid-70s but a possible function has only recently been suggested. Lineage: Eukaryota; Metazoa; Chordata; Mammalia; Eulipotyphla; Erinaceidae. The record is from Rfam by way of RNAcentral.